Lycium ferocissimum is the source of this 719-nucleotide long non-coding RNA. RefSeq lists it as uncharacterized. The record is from RefSeq and is a predicted model, not a curated record. The transcript has 2 exons. Lineage: Eukaryota; Viridiplantae; Streptophyta; Magnoliopsida; Solanales; Solanaceae.
CUUAUUUGGUAACAAUUUAACUUAUUUAUAAAAUAUAACGGAUGCUUUUCCUUAUUUACAACAUAUAUCAAUUUAUUUACAAAAUAUAACGGAUCUGAUAAAAUAGAAGCUCACCCUUCCAUUCCCCUUUUCACCCACCUUCCCUUCCCCUUAGAUGCAGCCCCCACCCUUCCCUUAGGGUUUUCUCCCUAGAAUAAUAUCCUAUACUGUUUUGUAAUCUCGUUCGAAUAUCCACACCACAUAUAGACCCACCAUAGCCGAUCCCCAGAGAAGAAGACACACACCAUAAGUGUUUCAAUGGGUAAACUUCUCACCAUGUCGAAAAUCUCUUACUUCCCUUUGUGGGUCUUUGUAUUUCAAUGAGUGCUUACACUUAUGUGUAAUCUCGUUCGAAUAUAACUUCAAAUGAAAAUGAUUGCCAGAGAAGAAGAACGGAAAAUAUACAUUCCGUGGGAAAAUGAGCCAUCUCAAACUUCUAACUUCAGGCUGAUUUACACAAAUAACCACUUUUGCGACGAUGAUGAUGACUGCAACGAUGACGACGACCGCAAAUUCUUUCCCUUUUGCCCUUAUUGUAAUUUCAUAAUUUACCUCAUGUAUAACAAAAGAAAAUCUAUAUUUUCUGAUUUUGUUAGAAAAUGAAGAGAUUUGUAUUAGUAUCGUAUGAAAGUUGUAUACAAUUUUAUUGUAGUUAUAUUAAAUUUCAGCCGAAUUUCGAA